Molecule: unclassified non-coding RNA, 141 nt
Filed under: uncultured Tremellales
Lineage: Eukaryota; Fungi; Basidiomycota; Tremellomycetes; Tremellales
Description: sequence contains ITS2
Source: RNAcentral
AACCUCACCCCAUUUAGGUUUUUGCCUGAGUGGUCGGUGGAUUGGGUGUUGCCGAUAUACUGGCUCGCCUGAAAAGCAUAAGCGCCUUGGAUGUAAUACGUUUCAUCCUUCUGGGUGGCUGAUAACCCCACAUAUCUCAUG